Molecule: long non-coding RNA, 2860 nt
Organism: Macaca fascicularis (crab-eating macaque)
Lineage: Eukaryota; Metazoa; Chordata; Mammalia; Primates; Cercopithecidae
Source: Ensembl
GUGGCUGUGGGACCAGGCCCCUGGGGCCUCCUGGGACAGCUGGGGACAGAGAGGGGCAGCUCAGGUUUCAUCACUGCUUGGUGUGUGACCUGGGCUCCACCCAGGCUGCAGAAUAAUGCCAGGCCUUAGCCCCUGCGGUGUAACACCUUUCACCAAGAAAUUGCUGUCCCGCUCCUGUUCCACAGGGACUGCUCUGGCCUGGACUUUGGGUCCUGUGGCCUAGAAGUAAAGGGACCAGAUUUUAGUCAGGCCUCAGGACAGAAGCCAAGCCAGUCAAAUCAGGAGGAGGUGCGUGAGGCACAGCCAGAUGGGCUGCCGUUGGUUGCAAGCCUGGAAGAGUCAGAAAGAAACCUGAGGCUGUCAAGGAAGCUUGAAGGUGGGUCUUCAACUCUGGGCCCAGAAGGAGCAUCACCUCCACCUGGCCUUGUCUGGUUCAUCUACAGCCUGCAGGAAGAGAGGGGGAGGGGGGAGAGGGGGAAAGGGAGAGAGGAAGAGAGGGGAGAGGAAGACAGGGGAGAGGAAGAGAGAGAGAGGGAGAGGGACAGAGGGAGAGAGGGAGAGGAAGAGAGGAGGGAGGGAGGGAGAGAGAGAGAGAGAGAGAGAGAGAAUGAAUAAAUGUGAAUAUGAGAACACUGCCCUGCUCCAAGCUCACCUCACACCUCUGUCUGGAGAAAGUGGAAUGGGAAGAAGCGGGUGGCAUCCCAAUCAUCCCAGGGUGCCCUGCUGCCAAGAAGACCUUGGGUGUCCAUCCUUCUAGUGCAGUAGCACCACCACCCCCACCCUCCCUUCAGGUGAAGGUUGCAAACUUUGAAAUCAGGAUGGGCUACAUAAUUUGCAGAGCCCAGUGCAAAUAAAAAUGCAGGGCACUUGUUCAAGAAAUAUUAAGAAUGCAUUAGGCCAAAGGCAGACUCCUUGUAAGCAUGUGGCUCUGCCUGACUGCACAUGUGGCAUUCCCAUGAAGCUGGUCUGGCCUGAAACUGUCCUCCAGGGGAGUCCUGUUAAGGUGUGGGAGAAAGUGUGCAAAGCUCUGCCAAGGGAAAUAGCUGUCAUUUUGGAAGCCAUCAGGAUCUUUUAGUGCAGUCAAGCUGAACCAUGGAGGUCAUCACAGUUCCAGACAGGUUGAAAAGCUCUGAUUUGUCCCCUCUAGGGUGGGAGCUAAGGACUGGAGAGGCUGCAGAGCCAGCAGGUAACUCCGAAGGCCAGGGUGCAAAUCCUCCCUCUGUCCCUGAUGAGCAGAAUGACCAUGAGUUUGUUGCUUAGCUUCUCUGUGCCUCAGUUUCCUUAUUGAGAUAACGUGCUCUCUUCACAGGAUUGCUUAGAGGAUUAACCCUAAAACUAUGGAGAAACUGAGGAACCCAGUCCCUUUUCCUGGCACACAGUGCUCGAUAGUCUUGGCUGAUGUUAGAUAUCCUUUCUGUGCACUUUGGUUUCUUUCCUAGGAGAAUAUAAUGGGGAAAGGUAGAGGGCGAAGAUGAAUCUAGAGUCAGGAGUGCUGGGUUCUCAGCUACUAACCACCUGCUUACCAAGGCAGGUUGGUCUCCCCCUCAGAGUCUUACUUCUAAAAUUUAAAGGCGGGGGUGAGGUAUGACUUUCCUUCCAGCUUUAUAAUUCUGUUUCCAAGGAAUUCCACCUGUUCUUCUCAUUGGCUUAUCCCAGUGUAUUAGUCUGUUUUCAUGCUGCUGAUAAAGAAAUACUUGAGACUGGGCAAUUUACAAAAGAAAGAUGUUUAAUUGGACUUACAGUUCUACGUGGCUGGGGAAGCCUCACAAUCAUGGUGGAAGGCAAGGAGGAGCAAGUCACAUCGUACGUGGAUGGUGUCGGGCAAACAGAGUGAGCUUGUGCAGGCAAACUCCAGUUUUUUAAAACCAUCAGAUCUCAUGAGCAUCAUUCACUAUCAUGAGAACAGCACAGGAAAGACCCACCCCCCAUAAUUCAAUCGCCUCCCACCGGGUUCCUCCCAUGACAUGUGGGAAUUGUGAGAGUUACAAUUCAAGAUGAGAUUUGGGUGCGGACACAGCCAAACCGUAUCACCGGCAUUUAUUUUCUCUGAGGUUUAAGAAAUUUCUCCUCUUAUCUGACUGUAAAUCUUUCUCAUUAGUUAAAGUCCACUUCUUUUUCUGCUUUUGUGUGAAAACAAUAGGUUGGUGGCCCAUUUUAUAGACUCAGAAACUGAGGCACAUUGAGAACCAUCUGCUCUCCAGACGGAACAACCCCAGUCCCUUUAAUAUGCCCUUGCAUUGGCCUUUCACUUCCCUGUGACCCCUGCCCACUGCCUGUCCCAGGAAUCUCCACCUCUCCUGCAUUUAGACACCCACGUGGGUCACUCCUGCCAGCCAGGCACAGAGCUCGGCCCCUCAGAUCUGUCUAAUACUCUCAGUGCCUGUAGGGAAGCAGAUCUUGUUACAUAUCUUGUUUUCCAGCUAGAGAAGCAGGUUCCUGGAGCCCGGACUGAGGGUGGAGUGAGGUUCCAGUGGGUAACUUGUGAGACCCCCUAAUGCGGUGAGGCAGAGCCCCAGACCCUGCAACCCUUUGGGGGUCAGCCUUUCCUGGAGAAAAACUUUCCCCCAGCACUUACCAAGCCUCUCACCCAGCAGCUGGCGUGAGGGAUGUUGCUCCUCUGCCAAACCCACACUCUGGGGUGAACACAGCUCUGGGCAUGCCAGCUGCUGCCCUGGCCCCUUUACUGCCACUCAGGAAGACACACGUGAGUGCCAUUCGGUGCCAGUGUCCUUGUCAGGGAGCAAGCUUCAAACCUGUCCCCUUCCUACAGGCCCCUGCUCAGCUCCAGCACUAGCACAAUGCAGAAUCAAUAUCUAUUUGCGGGGAUUAUUGAAUGUCCAUCUCCUCUACUAAAAUAAAC